UACAUGGGGUGCAAACGUUGCUCGGAAUUAUUGGGCGUAAAGCGCGCGUAGGCGGUUAUCUAAGUCGGAUGUGAAAGCCCUCGGCUUAACUGAGGAAGUGCACCCGAAACUGGAUAGCUAGAGUACGAAAGAGGGUCGCGGAAUUCCCGGUGUAGAGGUGAAAUGCGUAGAGAUCGGGGGGAACACCCGUGGCGAAGGCGGCCGGCUGGGCCGGUCCUGACGCUGAGGCGCGAAGGCGUGGGGAGCGAACGGG
This 253-nucleotide ribosomal RNA is filed under the name uncultured bacterium. Its description in RNAcentral is "partial 16S ribosomal RNA". It matches the Rfam family "Bacterial small subunit ribosomal RNA", at positions 524 to 776 of the family's 1533-position model. The record is from RNAcentral.